GCCAGACUCCUACGGGAGGCAGCAGUGGGGAAUAUUGCACAAUGGGGGAAACCCUGAUGCAGCGACGCCGCGUGAGUGAAGAAGUAUUUCGGUAUGUAAAGCUCUAUCAGCAGGAACGAGACAAGACGGUACCUGACUAAGAAGCCCCGGCUAACUACGUGCCAGCAGCCGCGGUAAUACGUAGGGGGCAAGCGUUAUCCGGAAUCACUGGGUGUAAAGGGAGCGUAGACGGCUGUGCAAGCCUGAAGUGAAAGGCGGGGGCCCAACCCCUGGACUGCUUUGGGAACUGUACGGCUGGAGUGCAGGAGAGGUAAGUGGAAUUCCUAGUGUAGCGGUGAAAUGCGUAGAUAUUAGGAGGAACACCAGUGGCGAAGGCGGCUUACUGGACUGUAACUGACGUUGAGGCUCGAAAGCGUGGGGAGCAAACAGGAUUAGAUACCCCAGUAAUG
RNAcentral lists this ribosomal RNA (449 nucleotides) under uncultured bacterium. RNAcentral's name for it is "bacterial SSU rRNA". It matches the Rfam family "Bacterial small subunit ribosomal RNA", at positions 330 to 793 of the family's 1533-position model. The record is from RNAcentral.